This is a non-coding RNA of Lipomyces chichibuensis, 88 nucleotides long. The record is from the annotation of a GenBank genome assembly. NCBI's taxonomy places the organism in Eukaryota, Fungi, Ascomycota, Lipomycetes, Lipomycetales, Lipomycetaceae.
CUCCGGAUGGCCAAGCUGGUAAGGCGUCAGGCUGUAAUGGAUUUCCGAAAAAACCUGAAAAUCGCGUGUUCGAGUCACGCUCCGGAGA